CGCCUGGGGAGUACGGGUGAGGUAACGGCUCACCAAGGCAUCGACGGGUAGCUGGUCUGAGAGGAUGAUCAGCCACACUGGGACUGAGACACGGCCCAGACUCCUACGGGAGGCAGCAGUGGGGAAUAUUGCACAAUGGGCGAAAGCCUGAUGCAGCAACGCCGCGUGCGGGAUGAAGGCCCUAGGGUUGUAGACCGCUUUCAGCAGGGAAGAAAAUGACGGUACCUGUAGAAGAAGGUGCGGCCAACUACGUGCCAGCAGCCGCGGUGACACGUAGGCACCAAGCGUUGUCCGGAUUUAUUGGGCGUAAAGAGCUCGUAGGCGGUUCAGUAAGUCGGGUGUGAAAACUCUGGGCUCAACCCAGAGACGCCACCCGAUACUGCUGUGACUAGAGUGCGGUAGGGGAGCGGGGAAUUCCUAGUGUAGCGGUGAAAUGCGCAGAUAUUAGGAGGAACACCAGUGGCGAAGGCGCCGCUCUGGGCCGUAACUGACGCUGAGGAGCGAAAGCGUGGGUAGCAAACAGGAUUAGAUACCCUGGUAGUCCACGCCGUAAACGUUGGGCACUAGGUGUGGGUCUCAACCAACGAGAUCCGCGCCGUCGCUAACGCAUUAAGUGCCCCGCCUGGGGAGUACGG
RNAcentral lists this ribosomal RNA (635 nucleotides) under uncultured Actinomycetes bacterium. RNAcentral's name for it is "bacterial SSU rRNA". It matches the Rfam family "Bacterial small subunit ribosomal RNA", at positions 234 to 885 of the family's 1533-position model. The record is from RNAcentral. Lineage: Bacteria; Bacillati; Actinomycetota; Actinomycetes.